RNAcentral lists this ribosomal RNA (2901 nucleotides) under Escherichia coli. RNAcentral describes it as "23S ribosomal RNA". It matches the Rfam family "Bacterial large subunit ribosomal RNA". Lineage: Bacteria; Pseudomonadati; Pseudomonadota; Gammaproteobacteria; Enterobacterales; Enterobacteriaceae. The record is from RNAcentral.
UUAAGCGACUAAGCGUACACGGUGGAUGCCCUGGCAGUCAGAGGCGAUGAAGGACGUGCUAAUCUGCGAUAAGCGUCGGUAAGGUGAUAUGAACCGUUAUAACCGGCGAUUUCCGAAUGGGGAAACCCAGUGUGAUUCGUCACACUAUCAUUAACUGAAUCCAUAGGUUAAUGAGGCGAACCGGGGGAACUGAAACAUCUAAGUACCCCGAGGAAAAGAAAUCAACCGAGAUUCCCCCAGUAGCGGCGAGCGAACGGGGAGCAGCCCAGAGCCUGAAUCAGUGUGUGUGUUAGUGGAAGCGUCUGGAAAGGCGCGCGAUACAGGGUGACAGCCCCGUACACAAAAAUGCACAUGCUGUGAGCUCGAUGAGUAGGGCGGGACACGUGGUAUCCUGUCUGAAUAUGGGGGGACCAUCCUCCAAGGCUAAAUACUCCUGACUGACCGAUAGUGAACCAGUACCGUGAGGGAAAGGCGAAAAGAACCCCGGCGAGGGGAGUGAAAAAGAACCUGAAACCGUGUACGUACAAGCAGUGGGAGCACGCUUAGGCGUGUGACUGCGUACCUUUUGUAUAAUGGGUCAGCGACUUAUAUUCUGUAGCAAGGUUAACCGAAUAGGGGAGCCGAAGGGAAACCGAGUCUUAACUGGGCGUUAAGUUGCAGGGUAUAGACCCGAAACCCGGUGAUCUAGCCAUGGGCAGGUUGAAGGUUGGGUAACACUAACUGGAGGACCGAACCGACUAAUGUUGAAAAAUUAGCGGAUGACUUGUGGCUGGGGGUGAAAGGCCAAUCAAACCGGGAGAUAGCUGGUUCUCCCCGAAAGCUAUUUAGGUAGCGCCUCGUGAAUUCAUCUCCGGGGGUAGAGCACUGUUUCGGCAAGGGGGUCAUCCCGACUUACCAACCCGAUGCAAACUGCGAAUACCGGAGAAUGUUAUCACGGGAGACACACGGCGGGUGCUAACGUCCGUCGUGAAGAGGGAAACAACCCAGACCGCCAGCUAAGGUCCCAAAGUCAUGGUUAAGUGGGAAACGAUGUGGGAAGGCCCAGACAGCCAGGAUGUUGGCUUAGAAGCAGCCAUCAUUUAAAGAAAGCGUAAUAGCUCACUGGUCGAGUCGGCCUGCGCGGAAGAUGUAACGGGGCUAAACCAUGCACCGAAGCUGCGGCAGCGACGCUUAUGCGUUGUUGGGUAGGGGAGCGUUCUGUAAGCCUGUGAAGGUGUGCUGUGAGGCAUGCUGGAGGUAUCAGAAGUGCGAAUGCUGACAUAAGUAACGAUAAAGCGGGUGAAAAGCCCGCUCGCCGGAAGACCAAGGGUUCCUGUCCAACGUUAAUCGGGGCAGGGUGAGUCGACCCCUAAGGCGAGGCCGAAAGGCGUAGUCGAUGGGAAACAGGUUAAUAUUCCUGUACUUGGUGUUACUGCGAAGGGGGGACGGAGAAGGCUAUGUUGGCCGGGCGACGGUUGUCCCGGUUUAAGCGUGUAGGCUGGUUUUCCAGGCAAAUCCGGAAAAUCAAGGCUGAGGCGUGAUGACGAGGCACUACGGUGCUGAAGCAACAAAUGCCCUGCUUCCAGGAAAAGCCUCUAAGCAUCAGGUAACAUCAAAUCGUACCCCAAACCGACACAGGUGGUCAGGUAGAGAAUACCAAGGCGCUUGAGAGAACUCGGGUGAAGGAACUAGGCAAAAUGGUGCCGUAACUUCGGGAGAAGGCACGCUGAUAUGUAGGUGAAGUCCCUCGCGGAUGGAGCUGAAAUCAGUCGAAGAUACCAGCUGGCUGCAACUGUUUAUUAAAAACACAGCACUGUGCAAACACGAAAGUGGACGUAUACGGUGUGACGCCUGCCCGGUGCCGGAAGGUUAAUUGAUGGGGUCAGCGCAAGCGAAGCUCUUGAUCGAAGCCCCGGUAAACGGCGGCCGUAACUAUAACGGUCCUAAGGUAGCGAAAUUCCUUGUCGGGUAAGUUCCGACCUGCACGAAUGGCGUAAUGAUGGCCAGGCUGUCUCCACCCGAGACUCAGUGAAAUUGAACUCGCUGUGAAGAUGCAGUGUACCCGCGGCAAGACGGAAAGACCCCGUGAACCUUUACUAUAGCUUGACACUGAACAUUGAGCCUUGAUGUGUAGGAUAGGUGGGAGGCUUAGAAGUGUGGACGCCAGUCUGCAUGGAGCCGACCUUGAAAUACCACCCUUUAAUGUUUGAUGUUCUAACGUUGACCCGUAAUCCGGGUUGCGGACAGUGUCUGGUGGGUAGUUUGACUGGGGCGGUCUCCUCCUAAAGAGUAACGGAGGAGCACGAAGGUUGGCUAAUCCUGGUCGGACAUCAGGAGGUUAGUGCAAUGGCAUAAGCCAGCUUGACUGCGAGCGUGACGGCGCGAGCAGGUGCGAAAGCAGGUCAUAGUGAUCCGGUGGUUCUGAAUGGAAGGGCCAUCGCUCAACGGAUAAAAGGUACUCCGGGGAUAACAGGCUGAUACCGCCCAAGAGUUCAUAUCGACGGCGGUGUUUGGCACCUCGAUGUCGGCUCAUCACAUCCUGGGGCUGAAGUAGGUCCCAAGGGUAUGGCUGUUCGCCAUUUAAAGUGGUACGCGAGCUGGGUUUAGAACGUCGUGAGACAGUUCGGUCCCUAUCUGCCGUGGGCGCUGGAGAACUGAGGGGGGCUGCUCCUAGUACGAGAGGACCGGAGUGGACGCAUCACUGGUGUUCGGGUUGUCAUGCCAAUGGCACUGCCCGGUAGCUAAAUGCGGAAGAGAUAAGUGCUGAAAGCAUCUAAGCACGAAACUUGCCCCGAGAUGAGUUCUCCCUGACCCUUUAAGGGUCCUGAAGGAACGUUGAAGACGACGACGUUGAUAGGCCGGGUGUGUAAGCGCAGCGAUGCGUUGAGCUAACCGGUACUAAUGAACCGUGAGGCUUAACCU